Molecule: ribosomal RNA, 1509 nt
Filed under: Helicobacter pylori
Lineage: Bacteria; Pseudomonadati; Campylobacterota; Epsilonproteobacteria; Campylobacterales; Helicobacteraceae
Description: bacterial SSU rRNA
Rfam family: Bacterial small subunit ribosomal RNA
Source: RNAcentral
UUUAUGGAGAGUUUGAUCCUGGCUCAGAGUGAACGCUGGCGGCGUGCCUAAUACAUGCAAGUCGAACGAUGAAGCUUCUAGCUUGCUAGAAUGCUGAUUAGUGGCGCACGGGUGAGUAACGCAUAGGUCAUGUGCCUCUUAGUUUGGGAUAGCCAUUGGAAACGAUGAUUAAUACCAGAUACUCCCUACGGGGGAAAGAUUUAUCGCUAAGAGAUCAGCCUAUGUCCUAUCAGCUUGUUGGUAAGGUAAUGGCUUACCAAGGCUAUGACGGGUAUCCGGCCUGAGAGGGUGAACGGACACACUGGAACUGAGACACGGUCCAGACUCCUACGGGAGGCAGCAGUAGGGAAUAUUGCUCAAUGGGGGAAACCCUGAAGCAGCAACGCCGCGUGGAGGAUGAAGGUUUUAGGAUUGUAAACUCCUUUUGUUAGAGAAGAUAAUGACGGUAUCUAACGAAUAAGCACCGGCUAACUCCGUGCCAGCAGCCGCGGUAAUACGGAGGGUGCAAGCGUUACUCGGAAUCACUGGGCGUAAAGAGCGCGUAGGCGGGAUAGUCAGUCAGGUGUGAAAUCCUAUGGCUUAACCAUAGAACUGCAUUUGAAACUACUAUUCUAGAGUGUGGGAGAGGUAGGUGGAAUUCUUGGUGUAGGGGUAAAAUCCGUAGAGAUCAAGAGGAAUACUCAUUGCGAAGGCGACCUGCUGGAACAUUACUGACGCUGAUUGCGCGAAAGCGUGGGGAGCAAACAGGAUUAGAUACCCUGGUAGUCCACGCCCUAAACGAUGGAUGCUAGUUGUUGGAGGGCUUAGUCUCUCCAGUAAUGCAGCUAACGCAUUAAGCAUCCCGCCUGGGGAGUACGGUCGCAAGAUUAAAACUCAAAGGAAUAGACGGGGACCCGCACAAGCGGUGGAGCAUGUGGUUUAAUUCGAAGAUACACGAAGAACCUUACCUAGGCUUGACAUUGAGAGAAUCCGCUAGAAAUAGUGGAGUGUCUGGCUUGCUAGACCUUGAAAACAGGUGCUGCACGGCUGUCGUCAGCUCGUGUCGUGAGAUGUUGGGUUAAGUCCCGCAACGAGCGCAACCCCCUUUCUUAGUUGCUAACAGGUUAUGCUGAGAACUCUAAGGAUACUGCCUCCGUAAGGAGGAGGAAGGUGGGGACGACGUCAAGUCAUCAUGGCCCUUACGCCUAGGGCUACACACGUGCUACAAUGGGGUGCACAAAGAGAAGCAAUACUGCGAAGUGGAGCUAAUCUUCAAAACACCUCUCAGUUCGGAUUGUAGGCUGCAACUCGCCUGCAUGAAGCUGGAAUCGCUAGUAAUCGCAAAUCAGCCAUGUUGCGGUGAAUACGUUCCCGGGUCUUGUACUCACCGCCCGUCACACCAUGGGAGUUGUGUUUGCCUUAAGUCAGGAUGCUAAACUAGCUACUGCCCACGGCACACACAGCGACUGGGGUGAAGUCGUAACAAGGUAACCGUAGGUGAACCUGCGGUUGGAUCACCUCCUUUCUAGA